GACGAACGCUGCCGGCGUGCUUAACACAUGCAAGUCGAACGGAAAGGCCCUGCUUUUGUGGGGUGCUCGAGUGGCGAACGGGUGAGUAACACGUGAGUAACCUGCCCUUGACUUUGGGAUAACUUCAGGAAACUGGGGCUAAUACCGGAUAGGAGCUCCUGCUGCAUGGUGGGGGUUGGAAAGUUUCGGCGGUUGGGGAUGGACUCGCGGCUUAUCAGCUUGUUGGUGGGGUAGUGGCUUACCAAGGCUGUGACGGGUAGCCGGCCUGAGAGGGUGACCGGCCACAUUGGGACUGAGAUACGGCCCAGACUCCUACGGGAGGCAGCAGUGGGGAAUAUUGCACAAUGGGCGGAAGCCUGAUGCAGCAACGCCGCGUGCGGGAUGACGGCCUUCGGGUUGUAAACCGCUUUCGCCUGUGACGAAGCGUGAGUGACGGUAAUGGGUAAAGAAGCACCGGCUAACUACGUG
Molecule: ribosomal RNA, 468 nt
Filed under: uncultured bacterium
Lineage: Bacteria
Description: partial 16S ribosomal RNA
Rfam family: Bacterial small subunit ribosomal RNA
Source: RNAcentral